CGAUGUCGGCUCGUCACAUCCUGGGGCUGGAGAAGGUCCCAAGGGUUGGGCUGUUCGCCCAUUAAAGUGGCACGCGAGCUGGGUUCAGAACGUCGCGAGACAGUUCGGUCCCUAUCUGUUGUGGGCGUUGGAAAUUUGAGAGGAUCUGACUCUAGUACGAGAGGACCGAGUUGGACAAACCUCUAGUGUACCUGUUGUAGUGCCAACUGCACCGCAGGGUAGCUAUGUUUGGAUGAGAUAAGCACUGAAAGCAUCUAAGUGCGAAACUCGCCUCAAGAUGAGAUUUCCUUUAAGGGUCGUUGAAGACUACGACGUUGAUAGGCUGCAGGUGUAAAGACAGUAAUGUCAAAGCCGAGCAGUACUAAUUACCCGUAAGCUUUCUAA
Molecule: ribosomal RNA, 384 nt
Filed under: Flavobacteriales bacterium
Lineage: Bacteria; Pseudomonadati; Bacteroidota; Flavobacteriia; Flavobacteriales
Description: partial 23S ribosomal RNA
Rfam family: Bacterial large subunit ribosomal RNA
Source: RNAcentral